This 464-nucleotide ribosomal RNA is filed under the name uncultured bacterium. RNAcentral describes it as "partial 16S ribosomal RNA". It matches the Rfam family "Bacterial small subunit ribosomal RNA", at positions 28 to 507 of the family's 1533-position model. The record is from RNAcentral.
GACGAACGCUGGCGGCGUGCUUAACACAUGCCAGUCGAACGAUGAACCGGUUUCGGCCGGGGAUUAGUGGCGAACGGGUGAGUAACACGUGGGCAAUCUGCCCUGCACUCUGGGAUAAGCCCGGGGAACUGGGUCUAAUACCGGAUACGACACUCCGAGGCAUCUUGGGGUGUGGAAAGUUCCGGCGGUGCAGGAUGAGCCCGCGGCCUAUCAGCUUGUUGGUGGGGUAAUGGCCUACCAAGGCGACGACGGGUAGCCGGCCUGAGAGGGUGACCGGCCACACUGGGACUGAGACACGGCCCAGACUCCUACGGGAGGCAGCAGUGGGGAAUAUUGCACAAUGGGCGAAAGCCUGAUGCAGCGACGCCGCGUGAGGGAUGACGGCCUUCGGGUUGUAAACCUCUUUCAGCAGGGAAGAAGCGAAAGUGACGGUACCUGCAGAAGAAGCACCGGCUAACUACGUG